RNAcentral lists this ribosomal RNA (253 nucleotides) under uncultured bacterium. RNAcentral describes it as "partial 16S ribosomal RNA". It matches the Rfam family "Bacterial small subunit ribosomal RNA", at positions 524 to 776 of the family's 1533-position model. The record is from RNAcentral.
UACGUAGGGUGCAAGCGUUAAUCGGAAUUACUGGGCGUAAAGCGUACGCAGGCGGCUUUGCAAGACAGGUGUGAAAUCCCCGGGCUCAACCCGGGAACUGCGUCCGAUACUGGGAGGCUUGAAUCCGGGAGAGGGAUGUGGAAUUCCAGGUGUAGCGGUGAAAUGCGUAGAUACCUGGAGGAACACCGGUGGCGAAGGCGGCAUCCUGGACCGGUAUUGACGCUGAGGCGCGAAAGCCAGGGGAGCAAACGGG